AACGAACGCUGGCGGCAUGCCUAACACAUGCAAGUCGAACGAGACCUUCGGGUCUAGUGGCGCACGGGUGCGUAACGCGUGGGAAUCUGCCCCUCGGUUCGGGAAUAACACAGAGAAAUUUGUGCUAAUACCGGAUAAUGGACUUCGGUCCAAAGAUUUAUCGCCGAGGGAUGAGCCCGCGUAAAGAUUAGCUUGUUGGUGGGGUAAUGGCCUACCAAGGCGACGAUCUUUAGCUGGUCUGAGAGGAGUGAUCAGCCACACUGGGACUGAGACACGGCCCAGACUCCUACGGGAGGCAGCAGUGGGGAAUAUUGGACAAU
RNAcentral lists this ribosomal RNA (320 nucleotides) under uncultured bacterium. RNAcentral describes it as "bacterial SSU rRNA". It matches the Rfam family "Bacterial small subunit ribosomal RNA", at positions 29 to 372 of the family's 1533-position model. The record is from RNAcentral.